ACGAACGCUGGCGGCGUGCCUAAUCCCUGCAAGUCGAGCGAAGUUUUUCUGGUGCUUGCACCGGAAAAACUUAGCGGCGAACGGGUGAGUAACACGUAAAGAACCUGCCUCAUAGACUGGGACAACUAUUGGAAACGAUAGCUAAUACCGGAUAAUAGCAUUAACUGCAUGGUUGAUGUUUAAAAGUUGGUUUUGCUAACACUAUGAGAUGGCUUUGCGGUGCAUUAGCUAGUUGGUGGGGUAAAGGCCUACCAAGGCGACGAUGCAUAGCCGACCUGAGAGGGUGAUCGGCCACACUGGGACUGAGACACGGCCCAGACUCCUACGGGAGGCAGCAGUAGGGAAUCUUCCGCAAUGGGCGAAAGCCUGACGGAGCAACGCCGCGUGAGUGAAGAAGGAUUUCGGUUCGUAAAGCUCUGUUGUUAGGGAAGAAUGAUUGUGUAGUAACUAUACACAGUAGAGACGGUACCUAACCAGAAAGCCACGGCUAACUACGUG
RNAcentral lists this ribosomal RNA (498 nucleotides) under uncultured bacterium. RNAcentral describes it as "partial 16S ribosomal RNA". It matches the Rfam family "Bacterial small subunit ribosomal RNA", at positions 29 to 507 of the family's 1533-position model. The record is from RNAcentral.